CCAGGUGCCCAAUUGGCAACAAGGGGGAGGGAAGGAAAUCCCUCAAACAACACAGAUAACAAACACAGCUCAAAUAAGAUCACCUGAUAAUGUAUUGUAGCAAUUAAGAUCCAAGGGCUCUGAUCCACAAAUAAUUCAAAAAAAAUACAAAAUUUCAAAAUUCCUAUAAACUGGAAUUUUAAGAAAUAUUACAACUGAUAACCAUCAAUUCACCAAGGUUCAAAUAUCAGCCGGGCCAUAUUUCAUUGCGAUCGUGUGUUGGCCUAAACUAUUUUCAUGUGCCAUCAUCGUUCAAGUUUGUGCACGACAAAAUGUAUUGAAUUAUCAAUUGCCAUGUCCGAGGCAGAGAUACUUUCGAACAAGAUGAACUGCAAGGCGCAGAUCACUAGCCCUACUCAGGUCUUUUCUCUCCUCCGCAUCAACAUCAGGUACCAACAGCUUCAUGUUGAUUGAACUACGAAAAAAGUUAGCAACAGUUCACAACUUCAAUAGACUAUUUUUAAGUAUAAGCAGAUUAAGAUGAAAUAGUAUCAUACAUCAUAUGAUAUGUGCAGCGUGCAUAAAAAAAAUCUAGACUACAUUGCUUGCAAAGAGAAUAUAAUUUCUUCAAGCUUCUUUGAACAUCUACGAAGUAAUCGGAUUCAGAAUGUCCUAAGAACCAGAAUGCCACUUGCAGUCACUAAAAAAAUGAGACCAACCCAAGGGCUAACCCUCAUUGGCAUUUAUUUAUAGGAGAAACUCCGCGAGCACCACGCGUCUAAGCCGGGGACUUGAACUCAGGUGGGCUGGCAGCAACCUCAGCUGCCCAGCCAACGGAUCGACGCCCCGUCCUCCACUUGCAGUCACUACAAAGUACUCAUAUUUAAUAAGGGGAUAAAGCAAAAAAGAAUCAUAUUUUAUGAUCCAGCAGGUGCUUGUGUGUGUCAUCCUAUGACAUGUAAAAACAUUGGACAAGAUUGUGACCGAAGGAGGCAAGAAAAAUUAUCACAAGCCGGUAUUGAAAAGCACAACCGGAGUACCAAAUUACUAAUAAGAACCAGUAGAUAGAGCAGACUACGUACAUGAUCCUACAUAUAUUACAACAGAUAUUUCAGUUCUACGUACAGGAUCCUACUCUCCCAAACACGCACUAGAUAGAGCAGACUAAACCAUGCAUCUAGAAUCCUACUCUCCCAGUGAAAAGCAAAAGUAGAACUGUACUACAAUGUUCCUUGUUCUACAUAUAGGAUGGCAAGUUCUAGUUCCUCCUUUAUAUUUCAGUUCUUUGCGCACGAGGGAAGAACUACUAUUGACCAAUGCAAAUAAAACUUGUGUAAAGCAACAUCAACGAAUUACAAGUACAUCAUAUUAAAGCAACAUCAAUGGUUGACAAUCCAUAUACAAUUUCAACUAAUAAGAACCAGUAGCAAAAGAUUCAUCAUGUAAAGGGUAGCACAACUCAGAAAGUAAACAUCACCUACCACAUCAAUGAAUUUAAGCUUUAUCAUACCUUUCUUUUUCUUCUCAAUGACCGAUAAAGACAACAACGUCAAGAUGCUAUAGUGAGUUGAAAGCCUGCAACACGGCAACAGUGCUCGAGUUACUAUUUCUAUCUAAAAAAGAUGCAGAAUGGUUGCUCACAAAUGUCACCUACUCACAUGAACUUGAUUCAUACAACUAUAUUGAUCUGCUUGCAUCUAAAUCUAAUUAAUAAUUGGUCUUCUGUGCCUCCUAUAACAUAUGAAAUCUGAUGUCAAACUAUUGAAAAUACCAUGGACAAAUACAUAGCUAUGAAAUUGAACCAACUGACCCACAGGUCUGGUGCAUACAGGUGCAAAGUUUUAUCAAAUAUAUGAGCAACUACAGGCAUCAAGCUUCAGACUAGUUUUCACAAUUUGUAUGGGCAGCGUAGUAUGCUACAUAGAAACAACUCAUAGGCAGCACACAAGAAAAUACAACUGGUACAUACACAAGAAAAAUACAAACUCUUAUGCAACUAGUGGUUCAACAUCAGGGGCGGCGAAGGCAUGAACUGAAGAAAUAUAUGGGGGAGGAGGAGGGGACUAACCCUUGAUCAGAUGAGAUAGAAUACGUCCGCGGAACUGACGCCGUCGCCAUCGCCGUCGCCGAAGGGGACUGGAGCUUCGAGGCGGAGGUUGGAUCCGGGGAAGGAGAACGGUGACGACCGUGGUCCGUCGCCGUCGCUGGAGGGGCGGAGUUGGAUCCUUAACACCGGAGGGAGAGGGUCGGGAGAGUCACUUCUGUCGCCGGCGGAGGAGCUCGGAGGCGGUCGGGGGCCCUGGAUCUUGCUCAAUGACGCUGGAGUUCGCUCGCCUCUGUCGAGCCAUGGAUUUCCUCCCCGACCUCUCGGGUCGUGGCUUUCCUCCCCGAGGAAAGGACGUGGAUCGGGCAGGGUUAGCCUCGAGUGGUGCGGUCCAAAUGACGCAAUGGAUCUCCUUGGGCCAACUCGGCCCGUG
RNAcentral lists this long non-coding RNA (2456 nucleotides) under Triticum aestivum (bread wheat). RNAcentral describes it as "long non-coding RNA (TAES_LNC006547)". Lineage: Eukaryota; Viridiplantae; Streptophyta; Magnoliopsida; Poales; Poaceae. The record is from RNAcentral.